RNAcentral lists this ribosomal RNA (525 nucleotides) under Babesia vogeli. Its description in RNAcentral is "SSU rRNA". It matches the Rfam family "Eukaryotic small subunit ribosomal RNA", at positions 286 to 866 of the family's 1831-position model. Lineage: Eukaryota; Apicomplexa; Aconoidasida; Piroplasmida; Babesiidae. The record is from RNAcentral.
AGCGAUGGACCAUUCAAGUUUCUGAACCAUCAGCUUGACGGUAGGUGUAAAGGCCUACCGAGGCAGCAACGGGUAACGGGGAAUUAGGGUUCGAUUCCGGAGAGGGAGCAUGAGAGACGGCUACCUCAUUUAAGGCAGCCAGCAGGCGCGCAAAUUACCCAAUCCUGACACAGGGAGGUAGUGCCACGAAAUAACCCUACAGGGCUAAUGUCUUGUAAGGGGAAUGAUGGUGACCCAAACCCUCACCAGAGUAGCAAUUGGAGGGCAAUUCUGGUCCCAGCAGCCGCGGUAAUUCCAGCUCCAAUAGCGUAUAUUAAACUUGUUGCAGUUAAAAAGCUCGUAGUUGAAUUUUAGCGUGUUCGAGUUUGCCAUUCGUUUGGCUUUUUCGAGUUCGCUUUUGGGUUUUCCCUUUUUACUUUGAGAAAAUUAGAGUGUUUCAAGCAGACUUUUGUCUUGAAUACUUCAGCAUGGAAUAAUAGAGUAGGACUUUGGUUCCAUUUUGUUGGUUAUUGAACACUUAGUAAU